This is a long non-coding RNA of Prosopis cineraria, 264 nucleotides long. RefSeq lists it as uncharacterized. The record is from RefSeq and is a predicted model, not a curated record. Lineage: Eukaryota; Viridiplantae; Streptophyta; Magnoliopsida; Fabales; Fabaceae. The transcript has 3 exons.
CCUGAAGUUUGUUGGAGCAGUUAUUCUUCUAUACACACCAGAUCCAAAUGGUUCCUCAGAGCCCCCUCCUCAUCAAGGAAGGCUUGUGGAGUUUAACAUAUCAUGGAUUCGCAAGGGUCAUCCUGUACUCAACUUUAAAGAUUUGUCAAUUGAUGCUAGUCAUAGUUUAGGUCUCCUGCUUGAUCAACUCAGGUUUCCAACUGUGAAUUCUCUCAGUAACUCGGUGAUUGUUGUGCUAAUUAACAGCCUUUUAGCGAUUGCAAA